GAGGUUCUUCUACAACCGGGAGUGUAUUUGCUGGGGUGUUGAGGCCUCUCUGUUGCAUUAUCUGCCCCAACCAGUGGGCUGUAUUCUGUAACUGGAAAGCCAUGUUUUGAAGAUCUUGGUUAGACAAGGUGACAGCGGGAGUGUUCCCUGCCAAACUUGGCGAGGGAUUAAGAGGAACAGGUGUUUGGUUGUUUAAUGCCGUAGGACUAGAAAAGGAGAAUUGUUGCCCCUCUUGGGCAGAGCUUAGGUCAUUUGGGACAUUAAGGUUACUUUCUUG
Molecule: long non-coding RNA, 277 nt
Filed under: Manihot esculenta (cassava)
Lineage: Eukaryota; Viridiplantae; Streptophyta; Magnoliopsida; Malpighiales; Euphorbiaceae
Description: long non-coding RNA (MESC_LNC004184)
Source: RNAcentral